This is a small nucleolar RNA of Echinops telfairi (small Madagascar hedgehog), 131 nucleotides long. RefSeq annotates it as small nucleolar RNA SNORA33. The transcript has a single exon. Lineage: Eukaryota; Metazoa; Chordata; Mammalia; Afrosoricida; Tenrecidae. The record is from RefSeq and is a predicted model, not a curated record.
AAGCCAGCCAUUCUACUUACCUGAAUGUGUUUCUGCACGAAUUUUUUUAAAAGCUGGCAAUAAUAGUAAAGCAAUAUUAUGAGCCUUACGAAUAAUUGAGGUCAUUAAGGUCGCUGAAAGUAGCCACAGUU